This 364-nucleotide unclassified non-coding RNA is filed under the name Hevea brasiliensis (rubber tree). The record is from RNAcentral. Lineage: Eukaryota; Viridiplantae; Streptophyta; Magnoliopsida; Malpighiales; Euphorbiaceae.
AAGUCCACGAGCAGCAACAUCAGUUGCAAUAAGAACAUGAUAGACACCAGAUUUAAAUUUUUGCAAAGUAUCCAUCCGAGAAGCCUGGUCUUUGUCACCAUGAAGAGCUGCAACUUUAAAUCCCUUCUGAACCAAUUGUGAUUCAAUCUCAUCAACAGUAGCUUUUUUAGAAGCAAAAACUAGAACAUCACCAUCAUCAAUCAUUCCAGGUAGUUUUUCAAGAAGCCAAGGCAACUUCUCUGCAUCAGAAGGAAUUACUUGAACAACCUGAGUAAUAUCUUCAUUGGCCAUUCCCACCUCCCCCACUGUAACUCUUAUGGGAUCAGUGAGAAUCUCCCUAGCUAACUUUUCCACCUUGUGAGGC